UGCAUCUGAAGUUUAUGAGGAUGAGAACCUCCGGGGGUAGAGGUUCGACUCGAGCGGAGCGAGAGAACGUUGCGUCAGCAACGGCCCGAAGG
This 92-nucleotide small RNA is filed under the name Klebsiella michiganensis. Its description in RNAcentral is "partial RtT sRNA". It matches the Rfam family "RtT RNA", at positions 1 to 90 of the family's 130-position model. Rfam says of the family: This family represents a bacterial cis-regulatory element known as RtT RNA. The exact function of RtT is unknown although it is thought that it may be involved in changing the cellular response in relation to amino acid starvation. The record is from RNAcentral. Lineage: Bacteria; Pseudomonadati; Pseudomonadota; Gammaproteobacteria; Enterobacterales; Enterobacteriaceae.